Molecule: small nuclear RNA, 107 nt
Organism: Mirounga angustirostris (Northern elephant seal)
Lineage: Eukaryota; Metazoa; Chordata; Mammalia; Carnivora; Phocidae
Source: RefSeq, a predicted model, not a curated record
UUGCUUACUUCAGCAGCACAUAUACUGAAAUUGGACCAAUAUAGAGAAGAUUAGCAUGGUCCCUGCACAAGGAUGACACACAAAUUUGUGAAUAUUCACAGACCAAU